This 433-nucleotide ribosomal RNA is filed under the name Triticum aestivum (bread wheat). RNAcentral describes it as "partial small subunit ribosomal RNA". Lineage: Eukaryota; Viridiplantae; Streptophyta; Magnoliopsida; Poales; Poaceae. The record is from RNAcentral.
AAAAACGUUUCGUUCGUGGGCUGACGCACGGGCUCUCCUCCCCCCGCGCAGCGCCCCCCGAGCUCCAGAUCGGGAGGGGAGCUCCCGAUCCAGAGCCCCUCGCCGCCCCGCUGCCUUCGCGCUCGGCCUCGCCACCGGCCGCCGCGCCGCCGUCGACCAUAGCCGGACCUCCACGCCUCGCGCCCCCUCUUAUGGAGCAGCCAUGGCCACCGGCCGCCGCGCCGCCCACCACGACGAGCUGCUCAGCACUCUCCUCGCCGCCGCGGGCAACGGCCGGGAGGAGGAGGAGGACGCGCGGGAGGCGCGGCAGCGUCAGAAUCAACGCGUCGAAUCCGGCCUCGGCUUACGGCGACACGGACGUGGAGGCUCUGGCUGCGACCGCCGCACUCUAUGCCCCGACCCUGCUCGCCGAGCCCUGCCUCUCCGGUUCUCC